ACCAUGAAGCCUAGCGAUUGGUUGACUGAGUGGCGGACGGGUGAGUAACGCGUGGGUAACCUGCCUCAUACAGGGGGACAACAGUUAGAAAUGACUGCUAAUACCGCAUAACCCGCUAGGGCCGCAUGGCCCGGACGGAAAAGGAGCAAUCCGGUAUGAGAUGGACCCGCGUCUGAUUAGCUGGUUGGUGGGGUAACGGCCUACCAAGGCAACGAUCAGUAGCCGAACUGAGAGGUUGACCGGCCACAUUGGGACUGAGACACGGCCCAAACUCCUACGGGAGGCAGCAGUGGGGAAUAUUGCACAAUGGGGGAAACCCUGAUGCAGCGACGCCGCGUGAGUGAAGAAGUAUUUCGGUAUGUAAAGCUCUAUCAGCAGGGAAGAAAAUGACGGUACCUGACUAAGAAGCCCCGGCUAACUACGUGCCAGCAGCCGCGGUAAUACGUAGGGGGCAAGCGUUAUCCGGAUUUACUGGGUGUAAAGGGAGCGUAGGUGGUAUGGCAAGUCAGAGGUGAAAACCCAGGGCUUAACCUUGGGAUUGCCUUUGAAACUGUCAGACUAGAGUGCAGGAGGGGUAAGUGGAAUUCCUAGUGUAGCGGUGAAAUGCGUAGAUAUUAGGAGGAACACCAGUGGCGAAGGCGGCUUACUGGACUGUAACUGACACUGAGGCUCGAAAGCGUGGGGAGCAAACAGGAUUAGAUACCC
This 705-nucleotide ribosomal RNA is filed under the name uncultured bacterium. Its description in RNAcentral is "bacterial SSU rRNA". It matches the Rfam family "Bacterial small subunit ribosomal RNA", at positions 66 to 787 of the family's 1533-position model. The record is from RNAcentral.